Molecule: ribosomal RNA, 378 nt
Filed under: uncultured bacterium
Lineage: Bacteria
Description: bacterial SSU rRNA
Rfam family: Bacterial small subunit ribosomal RNA
Source: RNAcentral
UAAUACGUAGGUGGCAAGCGUUGUCCGGAAUUAUUGGGCGUAAAGCGCGCGCAGGCGGCUAUGUAAGUCUGGUGUUAAAGCCCGGGGCUCAACCUCGGUACGCAUCGGAAACUGUGUAGCUUGAGUGCAGAAGAGGAAAGCGGUAUUCCACGUGUAGCGGUGAAAUGCGUAGAUAUGUGGAGGAACACCAGUGGCGAAGGCGGCUUUCUGGUCUGUAACUGACGCUGAGGCGCGAAAGCGUGGGGAGCAAACAGGAUUAGAUACCCUGGUAGUCCACGCCGUAAACGAUGAGUGCUAGGUGUUGGGGGUUUCAAUACCCUCAGUGCCGCAGCUAACGCAAUAAGCACUCCGCCUGGGGAGUACGCUCGCAAGAGUGAA